Molecule: ribosomal RNA, 212 nt
Filed under: Toxocara cati (cat roundworm)
Lineage: Eukaryota; Metazoa; Nematoda; Chromadorea; Rhabditida; Toxocaridae
Description: partial small subunit ribosomal RNA
Rfam family: Eukaryotic small subunit ribosomal RNA
Source: RNAcentral
ACGGCUCAUUAUAACAGCUAUUAUAUACUUGAUUUUGAUGUCCUACGUGGAUAACUGUGGUAAUUCUAGAGCUAAUACAUGCACCAAAGCUCCGAUUUUCUGACGAGCGCAUCUAUUAGAUUAAAACCAAUCGGGUUUCGGCCCGUAAAUUGGUGACUCUGAAUAACUGUAGCUGAUCGCAUGGUCCAGAACCGGCGACGUGUCUAUCAAGU